RNAcentral lists this ribosomal RNA (494 nucleotides) under uncultured bacterium. RNAcentral's name for it is "partial 16S ribosomal RNA". It matches the Rfam family "Bacterial small subunit ribosomal RNA", at positions 28 to 506 of the family's 1533-position model. The record is from RNAcentral.
GACGAACGCUGGCGGCGUGCCUAAUACAUGCAAGUAGAACGCUGAAGGAGGAGCUUGCUUCUCUGGAUGAGUUGCGAACGGGUGAGUAACGCGUAGGUAACCUGCCUUGUAGCGGGGGAUAACUAUUGGAAACGAUAGCUAAUACCGCAUAAUAGCAGUUAUUGCAUGAUAACUGUUUGAAAGGUGCAAUUGCCCCACUACCAGAUGGACCUGCGUUGUAUUAGCUAGUUGGUGGGGUAACGGCUCACCAAGGCGACGAUACAUAGCCGACCUGAGAGGGUGAUCGGCCACACUGGGACUGAGACACGGCCCAGACUCCUACGGGAGGCAGCAGUAGGGAAUCUUCGGCAAUGGACGGAAGUCUGACCGAGCAACGCCGCGUGAGUGAAGAAGGUGUUCGGAUCGUAAAGCUCUGUUGUAAGAGAAGAACGAGUGUGAGAGUGGAAAGUGCACACUGGGAGGGAAUCGUACCAGAAAGGCCCGGCAAACUACGG